GACUCUUUGCCACUGUAGGCGGAAAUCGGGCGAGUGUUCCAUAUGUUGUUUAUAUCUCCAAAAUCCGUAGGAAAACGGAAUGCGCCACUGAAUAGAAAUUUCGACAGUGGCCCGUGUUCUAUCUUUGAACCAUUUGAGCUUCAAUGAGUUAUCUUCUUGGUGUUUCAGUCAGUGGGUUUUAUUCUAGGGAUAUGUUUGAUUGAAUGCUGCGUCGUACGAUUACGAAUUUUGUUUGAUUCUGUUUAUCUUUUGAUUUCUUCGAAAUUUUCAAUUGCCUUCACUCCCAAUUCUACUCUUGAAGAAGGAAAAGAAUUCCGAUGCAUGUGUACUAGACGAGAAACGGUUACUGUUUACUAAUGUCCGGAAUGAAGAUAUCAAUGUUGAUGGCUCUCCAUUUGUUGUUGCUGGUGGAAUCGAUGUUAUAAUCCGUGUUAUUGAUGCUGCCACUGAAAGAUAAUACAAGGUAUCAUCAUAUAAACCACCUAGGACUUCAAAUUAUGAUACACUCUUUGCUGUGAUUGAUCAUGUGACAUCUAGAGUUUAGUUGGAAGCUAUCUAAAGAUCUCACUAUUAGUUUGUUUCAAAGAUUUGAUCGGUUUUGGUGAAUAGAUUUUAGCCUUUGCGCUUUUCCUUUCAAGUUAGUUCAGAGCUCAUUUUAGCCAUCUAGAACAUGUACAGAGAGAUACUUUACCAAAGCUCAUUUUGCAUUCAAUUAUUAACUAGUUGAUUAUCUGUUAGUUUAGUAUUAUCUGGUGAUUUCUAGCAGAAGGAAAUGAACUAACCUGCUUAUGAAGUGGAAAUUUUCUAUUAUAACACUUACAUGUUGCUGAAUUAGACAGGAAAAGUGGGAAUUAGUCCCUUCUUUCACCCUUUGAGUCCUAUAAAGAACCAACCAGUUUUUCCAACCCCUUUUUGUUUGAAACAAAACAAGCAGAGAAAGCCAUAUCUUUAUAAACAAAUCAGUUGGCUGGUCACAACUUAUGCCACAGUAAAAAGAUGUUCUUAGAUUGGAACCUUGCUUUCAACAAGUGCAUGAUUUGUCAUCAAACCAGUUGAUUUGUUUUCUGGAUUAGAUUUUAAAUUAUUCCCCCAAUGCAACUUGUAGUUUGUGCAAGUUGAGGUUUGGAGAAAAUCCAAAGUUAGGAAUUGUUUGGCCAAAGAGGAAAAAAAAAAAAGGGUGAGAGAGAGUUUAGAAGAAAACUCUAGGAAUUUGUACUCAUAUUUUGAAGUUUGAUUGGCAUAACAAUCACUUACUGAGAACAGAGAAUAU
Long non-coding RNA from Momordica charantia (bitter melon), 1270 nucleotides. RefSeq lists it as uncharacterized. Lineage: Eukaryota; Viridiplantae; Streptophyta; Magnoliopsida; Cucurbitales; Cucurbitaceae. The record is from RefSeq and is a predicted model, not a curated record.